UAUCAUUAAAAACAUUUUCAUCCAUUUUAUAGCAUAUGAAUGAUUGAAUUAUAUCUCUGUUGUUUCAAGGGGAAAAGCAUGAACUGUUUAUGAAUUCCAUUUUACAGAUUAGACAAUGAAGACUUCACAAUAUUGUUAUUUCUGCAGCAUGAGAAACAAAACGGGCAUUCAAACUGGGAAUAAAUAACGUAAAGAAACACAGUGCUCCAAGACUUCAGUCUAAAACUGAGAGCAACUAAACAACU
This is a long non-coding RNA of Sinocyclocheilus grahami, 245 nucleotides long. RefSeq lists it as uncharacterized. Lineage: Eukaryota; Metazoa; Chordata; Actinopteri; Cypriniformes; Cyprinidae. The record is from RefSeq and is a predicted model, not a curated record. The transcript has 3 exons.